AUUGAACGCUGGCGGCAUGCUUUACACAUGCAAGUCGAACGGUAACAGGCCGCAAGGUGCUGACGAGUGGCGAACGGGUGAGUAAUGCAUCGGAACGUGCCCAGUCGUGGGGGAUAACUACUCGAAAGAGUAGCUAAUACCGCAUACGAUCUAUGGAUGAAAGCGGGGGACCGUAAGGCCUCGCGCGAUUGGAGCGGCCGAUGUCAGAUUAGGGAGUUGGUGGGGUAAAGGCUCACCAAGCCAACGAUCUGUAGCUGGUCUGAGAGGACAACCAGCCACACUGGGACUGAGACACGGCCCAGACUCCUACGGGAGGCAGCAGUGGGGAAUUUUGGACAAUGGGCGCAAGCCUGAUCCAGCAAUGCCGCGUGCAGGAAGAAGGCCUUCGGGUUGUAAACUGCUUUUGUACGGAACGAAACGGCUCUGGUUAAUACCCGGGGCUAAUGACGGUACCGUAAGAAUAAGCACCGGCUAACUACGUG
This 482-nucleotide ribosomal RNA is filed under the name uncultured bacterium. RNAcentral describes it as "partial 16S ribosomal RNA". It matches the Rfam family "Bacterial small subunit ribosomal RNA", at positions 30 to 507 of the family's 1533-position model. The record is from RNAcentral.